GCGAAAACUUUACAAUGCUGGCAACAGCGAUAAGGGAGCCUCGAGUGCCAGGUUACAAUCUGGCUGUCGAGAUGCCUAAAAAGCAUUUCAUAGCAAGGGCCGGGCAAGACCGGUGCCAGCCGCCGCGGUAACACCGGCGGCUCGAGUGGUAACCGUUAUUAUUGGGUCUAAAGGGUCUGUAGCCGGCCGGAUAAGUCUCUUGAGAAAUCUGGCAGCUUAACUGUCAGGCUCUCAGGAGAUACGGUCUGGCUCGAGGCCGGGAGAGGUGAGAGGUACUGCAGGGGUAGGGGUGAAAUCUUGUAAUCCUUGAAGGACCACCAGUGGCGAAGGCGUCUCACCAGAACGGACCUGACGGCAAGGGACGAAAGCGAGGGGCACGAACC
RNAcentral lists this ribosomal RNA (383 nucleotides) under uncultured prokaryote. RNAcentral's name for it is "bacterial SSU rRNA". It matches the Rfam family "Archaeal small subunit ribosomal RNA", at positions 341 to 725 of the family's 1478-position model. The record is from RNAcentral.